UUUACAAUGGCUCAUGUGGUAGAGCCAUGGAUUUGUAACCCGUUGGUCCCAGGAUCGAAUCCUAGCUUUUUUAAUA
This 76-nucleotide transfer RNA is filed under the name Trichomalopsis sarcophagae. RNAcentral describes it as "tRNA-OTHER". The record is from RNAcentral. Lineage: Eukaryota; Metazoa; Arthropoda; Insecta; Hymenoptera; Pteromalidae.